GUCCUGAUAGUAUAAAAAAUUACUCUGGUUUUGUAAGCCAAAAAUGAAGAAACACUCUUCUCAGGACA
Non-coding RNA from Phodopus roborovskii (desert hamster), 68 nucleotides. Lineage: Eukaryota; Metazoa; Chordata; Mammalia; Rodentia; Cricetidae. The record is from the annotation of a RefSeq genome assembly.